Long non-coding RNA from Osmerus eperlanus (European smelt), 465 nucleotides. RefSeq lists it as uncharacterized. Lineage: Eukaryota; Metazoa; Chordata; Actinopteri; Osmeriformes; Osmeridae. The transcript has 3 exons. The record is from RefSeq and is a predicted model, not a curated record.
CAGGCGACAACAGGGCAGACACACUGAAGAGGUGCCAGUGAUGGACCUACAGGUGGCCCAAACACAGGCUGAACUCCAAGACCUUGAGGAGCGCUUUAAGGUGCUGGAGUUGCGAAAGAGAGUGAUGCUGUGAUGAAGUGGAAGACGGGACUGGGAGAGAAGGCUGUGGAGCUCCUCAUAGAGGAGACACUCAAACACACCCCGGCAGCCCAUUCAAAACAAGCCAGGGCCAACAGACAGGACCUGUAGCGGGGACUGGCAGAAGAUUUUAAUUCACUGUUUGGCACUUUAUUUGAAAUAAAAUGACAAUGUUACAUGGAAAUGCUGCCUUGUUUAUGAUUAGCUUGAGUUAGGCUACACAUCACACAAACAUAGUCCUCCUAAAGUUGGCUACCAUGUAGCCUAUUAUACAAGAACAAGUAGCAUUUUGGGCAAAUGAGGUCUGCAUAUGAACCGCCCCAAUAU